Pelodiscus sinensis (Chinese soft-shelled turtle) is the source of this 1380-nucleotide non-coding RNA. The record is from RefSeq and is a predicted model, not a curated record. Lineage: Eukaryota; Metazoa; Chordata; Testudines; Trionychidae.
GUACACCACACCCAGAAGAUAUGUAGGUUACAUGGGGUUGGGGUAGGAUGUAGAGUGCAGGAGUGGGGGUGGAGUCUGGGUGGGAGGUGGGGUGUGGGAAUGCAGGGUCUGGGCAGGAGAUAGGGUUUGGGAGGUAUGGGGAGCUACAGUCCCUGACAUGGAGUUUCUAUGCCCUGGAGAUGCUGACACCUUCCCAUGUCCUCUUCAUUCCUGGUAACCUGAAGGGGAUACACCGGAUUUUGACUAGAUUUUCCAGUUAAGAAUGAGGCACCUGGCAACUUUAAAGUGCAUCCACCUUCUUCGGGCAGCCAGAUACACAGGAUUCCCAACCUGCUGCUCCCCCCACUUCCCUUCAUCCUGCAACUGCGGAUACUGGGCUGCCAACCAUAAUGAUAUUGAGAUGCUGGCCACAUCAUACCCAACAGGAGAAGCAGUAGAGAAAAAAAUCUAGAGACAUCCAUAAUUAAGGAUCUGCAGUCUGUGGAGACUAAGUGCACAAGUCGACAUAGCGCACAUCACUGAGCACACACACAAGCAGCCUUCUGCUUAUCAUCAUCAACGGAGCCAGAAACCUGCGAGGACACCUCAGCAGUAAAUCCCGACUACCCUCGCUGAAAUAACUACACCUGCAACUAAACUGAAGUAAUUUUGUGACCUGCAUGAAAUGUUCACAUUCUCCAGAAUCUAAACUUUCAUUUAAAAAAAAGUUUCUAGUCCUUAUGGCUGCAGCACUAACCUUCCAAAGAUGAACAGAAUUUAACCAAUACAGCCAUGUCUCCUUCAGUAUUCAUACAGCUUGAAAGACUCACUCCCCAGACCUGUAUUAAUCUGAUUAAAGAAUGUGCUCUAAAUCCCAAUGAUACCUGCCAUUGUCAACACUGAGUAAUUAAUCCCCAGUUUGUUAUUGUUUGGGAUGAGAGUUAAGGAGGAAGUGGAACCCACUGAAACAGGAAAUGGGUGCAGUAACAGGGAAGGAAAUGAAGAGGAAAACACAAAGCAGCUCACAGAGACAGGGAAGGUGGGGAGAAACAGAGCAGGGAGAAGAGAAGGAGGAGACACAAGGUGCAGAAAUAGCAGAGGCCCAGCCAGAUGCAGAUUUCCUUCCUCAAUGCCAAAUGUGACAAUAAGGCUCUGAACAAAUAAUAAUCACUGAAUAUUUAUUUACUUUGUAAAGGCCACUUUCGUCCUUUGAUCUCUGUACAAACCUCCCACUGCUCUCAGGGGACAUUCCACUGUAUGUUGUGUGUGUGUGUGGGCAGUGGGAAUGGAGGGGGGUAGUUAUGAACUAUAGCUUGGACCAGUGCUUUUCAACCUUUUUUAUAAAGUACCCAUUAAAAAAAAGAAUUAUAAGUAGUUUUCAGACACAUUUUUUUCUACCAU